GGAUGAACGCUAGCUACAGGCUUAACACAUGCAAGUCGAGGGGAAACGACAUCGAAAGCUUGCUUUUGAUGGGCGUCGACCGGCGCACGGGUGAGUAACGCGUAUCCAACCUGCCCAUCACUUGGGAAUAACCUUGCGAAAGUAAGACUAAUACCCAAUGAUAUCCCACGAAGGCAUCUGAAUGGGAUUAAAGAUUUAUCGGUGAUGGAUGGGGAUGCGUCUGAUUAGCUUGUUGGCGGGGUAACGGCCCACCAAGGCAACGAUCAGUAGGGGUUCUGAGAGGAAGGUCCCCCACAUUGGAACUGAGACACGGUCCAAACUCCUACGGGAGGCAGCAGUGAGGAAUAUUGGUCAAUGGGCGAGAGCCUGAACCAGCCAAGUAGCGUGCAGGAUGACGGCCCUAUGGGUUGUAAACUGCUUUUAUAAGGGAAUAAAGUGAGUCUCGUGAGACUUUUUGCAUGUACCUUAUGAAUAAGGACCGGCUAAUUCCGUGCCAGCAGCCGCGGUAAUACGGAAGGUCCGGGCGUUAUCCGGAUUUAUUGGGUUUAAAGGGAGCGUAGGCCGGAGAUUAAGCGUGUUGUGAAAUGUAGAGGCUCAACCUCUGCACUGCAGCGCGAACUGGUCUUCUUGAGUACGCACAACGUGGGCGGAAUUCGUGGUGUAGCGGUGAAAUGCUUAGAUAUCACGAAGAACUCCGAUUGCGAAGGCAGCUCACGGGAGCGCAACUGACGCUGAAGCUCGAAAGUGCGGGUAUCGAACAGGAUUAGAUACCCUGGUAGUCCGCACGGUAAACGAUGGAUGCCCGCUGUUGGCCUGAAUAGGUCAGCGGCCAAGCGAAAGCAUUAAGCAUCCCACCUGGGGAGUACGCCGGCAACGGUGAAACUCAAAGGAAUUGACGGAAGG
RNAcentral lists this ribosomal RNA (903 nucleotides) under uncultured bacterium. RNAcentral describes it as "bacterial SSU rRNA". It matches the Rfam family "Bacterial small subunit ribosomal RNA", at positions 27 to 920 of the family's 1533-position model. The record is from RNAcentral.